This 465-nucleotide ribosomal RNA is filed under the name uncultured bacterium. Its description in RNAcentral is "partial 16S ribosomal RNA". It matches the Rfam family "Bacterial small subunit ribosomal RNA", at positions 338 to 795 of the family's 1533-position model. The record is from RNAcentral.
CCUACGGGAGGCAGCAGUAGGGAAUCUUCCACAAUGGGCGAAAGCCUGAUGGAGCAACGCCGCGUGGGUGAAGAAGGUCUUCGGAUCGUAAAACCCUGUUGUUAGAGAAGAAAGUGCGUGAGAGUAACUGUUCACGUCUCGACGGUAUCUAACCAGAAAGCCACGGCUAACUACGUGCCAGUAGCCGCGGUAAUACGUAGGGGGCAAGCGUUAUCCGGAUUUAUUGGGCGUAAAGGGAACGCAGGCGGUCUUUUAAGUCAGAUGUGAAAGCCUUCGGCUUAACCGGAGUAGUGCAUUGGAAACUGGGAGACUGGAGUGCAGGAGAGGGGAGUGGAACUCCAUGUGUAGCGGUGAAAUGCGUAGAUAUAUGGAAGAACACCAGUGGCGAAGGCGGCUCACUGGACUGUAACUGACGCUGAGGUUCGAAAGCGUGGGUAGCAAACAGGAUUAGAUACCCGUGUAGUC